Ornithodoros turicata is the source of this 296-nucleotide long non-coding RNA. RefSeq lists it as uncharacterized. The transcript has 3 exons. The record is from RefSeq and is a predicted model, not a curated record. NCBI's taxonomy places the organism in Eukaryota, Metazoa, Arthropoda, Arachnida, Ixodida, Argasidae.
ACAGGGAAAAAAGAAUAUGGUUAAGGAAGUGCUGCGAUUGCAGCAUUCAAAGGUUAUGAAGAAGAAGUCCAGGACGAGGCUACCGAGCUCUGAAUCGGAUAUAUCAGAUGAUGACGGUGCAGUUGUACCAGAACAGUAUCUGCUUGAUGCACAAGAAAAGAUUCGUGUCCUCAAGGGGGAAAUAAAGAGCCUCCGAAAGCAGCUUGAGGAGGAAAGGGCGCUGUGCCAUGAAGUGCAGCGGUCUCUGCUAGCGGAACUGGCGAGACCGAAGAGGGUCGAUGUGCUGGACCAGGAAC